GUGCUAGCUUUAGCAGCACACAUACUAAAAUUGGAACGACACAGAGAAGAUUAGCAUGGCCCCUGGCGCUAAAUUCGUGAAGCGAAUAAAAAAGAUGUUAUGCAUUUUU
This is a small nuclear RNA of Osmerus eperlanus (European smelt), 109 nucleotides long. Lineage: Eukaryota; Metazoa; Chordata; Actinopteri; Osmeriformes; Osmeridae. The record is from RefSeq and is a predicted model, not a curated record.